Molecule: long non-coding RNA, 264 nt
Filed under: Mytilus galloprovincialis (Mediterranean mussel)
Lineage: Eukaryota; Metazoa; Mollusca; Bivalvia; Mytilida; Mytilidae
Source: RNAcentral
GUCAUCAAGAUUUACCGUUCCAUAACAUGUUGGUGAAGGUCAUCUGACUACAACAAAGAUGCCUAAAACUCUGCCCAGAAAUGUUAUUAUUGCUUGAAAUAUUAAAGAUAAUGCAAUUUCCGCCAUUUUAUUAAGGUCAAAAACAUUCUACCCUUCCCUGGAUGAUUACCAGUCCUACAUCCUCUUUGGCCAAUAAAAAUAUGUAACCGCAUGCUUCCCCAUUUUGUGUUUUUGAAAUCACAUGACUGUCAUGUGAUAUGGUUU